GCUAGGGAAGGGGUGGGCUUGGUGAGACCCCAGGAAACAGGCUGAAGGAAAGAGCUGGAGAAGUUGGAGCUGCAGAUGUGCAAGUCGGAGCUCCAGCAGCCAGACUGUGACUUGAGGAUAGACACCACACACCAAGUGCGUUGAAGCAGGGAGAGAGGAGGAUCUGGGGUCCAUGCGACCUGUGGAGAUGCUGUUGGGGCAAAGCCUGCCGAUAUCACCGACAUCAGGAAUGAGAGAUGAUUCUGCUACAGAGUUCACAGAUAUU
Molecule: non-coding RNA, 265 nt
Organism: Manis javanica (Malayan pangolin)
Lineage: Eukaryota; Metazoa; Chordata; Mammalia; Pholidota; Manidae
Source: RefSeq, a predicted model, not a curated record